This 439-nucleotide ribosomal RNA is filed under the name uncultured bacterium. RNAcentral's name for it is "partial 16S ribosomal RNA". It matches the Rfam family "Bacterial small subunit ribosomal RNA", at positions 338 to 795 of the family's 1533-position model. The record is from RNAcentral.
CCUACGGGCGGCAGCAGUGAGGAAUAUUGGUCAAUGGGCGAGAGCCUGAACCAGCCAAGUCGCGUGAGGGAAGACGGUCCUAUGGAUUGUAAACCUCUUUUGCCGGGGAGCAAAAAGCGGUACGUGUACCGCAUCGAGAGUACCCGGAGAAAAAGCAUCGGCUAACUCCGUGCCAGCAGCCGCGGUAAUACGGAGGAUGCGAGCGUUAUCCGGAUUUAUUGGGGUUAAAGGGUGCGCAGGCGGCGAGUUAAGUCAGCGGUAAAAUUUCGGGGCUCAACCCCGACGAGCCGUUGAAACUGGCUUGCUAGAGUGGGCGAGAAGUAUGCGGAAUGCGUAGAUAUUAGGAGGAACACCAGAGGCGAAGGCGAUUAACUGGACCGUAACUGACGCUGAGGCACGAAAGUGUGGGUAGCAAACAGGAUUAGAUACCCUUGUAGUC